Non-coding RNA from Myodes glareolus (Bank vole), 1127 nucleotides. The record is from RefSeq and is a predicted model, not a curated record. NCBI's taxonomy places the organism in Eukaryota, Metazoa, Chordata, Mammalia, Rodentia, Cricetidae.
CCUGUACAGACCACCGAAGAGACAGCAUGUAACCUGCCCAGCUGAAAAAGAUGAAGAAAAUGAUGAAGAUCAGUGUCCCAGCCCACAGACGGACUUGGGUUUGGGUCUUCUGACACCUACUCCAGUGCUCUUUGCCACCACAUCCUGCUCAUUUGGCCCUGGGGCCAGCAAAAGGCAGGAUGCUAUCAAACAGGAGUGUAUGCCUGAGAGCCUAGUGGUGCCUGUGGAGAAAGGGAAGCCCCUCCUUCUGAGCUCCCCGCCUCCGCUGUGUGCGGUGCACGCAGAACUCCAUACUGGACCCUAUAUAACGGAUUCAGGGGGGCUGAAAACGGAACAGAGUCGCAGGAACAGAAGACCCCUGCAUGGAAGGAAAGACCUCCAUCACGGCCACUUCGGAUGGCGCUACAGCAUCUGAAGCCAGACGGUUCAUGAAGGAGAACAUCAGCAGCCUGACCCACUUCAGAACAGACAGCGUGAGGCUCACUGGAAACUGAAUUACUCAGGAUUUCCUGGGUGCAAGCAGACUAUGCAACAAAAGAGUCUUAAGCACAAGGGUACAGGACACUUCAGCGGGGAGGUGUCAGGAGGAAUGGGAACCUACACAAGCUGCUCUACCAAAAUACAUACGAUGAGGCGCUGUCUGUUCGUGAUACUGUAUUUGGAGGCAGGGUUCUUAAGGAGGGAAAGGUUAAAGGAGGUCAUAGGUUGGGGCACUAAGGCAACAGGACAGACUAAAGAGUCUUUUUCUCUCUGACUGUGUAGAAAGGAGAUGUCCCGGGAACAUAGCAAGAAGACAUCCAUAUACAACCCAAGGAGAGAGCCCUCACCAGAAACCAAUCUUGUUGGCACCCUGGGCUUGGAGUCCAGUUUCAGAGCCUGUGGGAGAAGCCAAUUCUGUGUGUUUUGUUUUGGCUUUAAGUGCGGAGGGUGAGCUCAGGACAUACUUUAUGAUGGAUUUACCACCCCAGCCCCCAUUUCUGUUGUUUCUAAGCCAUACUUCCUGGAUUUUCCAGCAGCUCAAGUGACUAACACCAUGAGCUGUGGCCUAGACACCCUCCAGCCUUUAUCCAACAAUCACCAGUCAGCUUCUUCUUUUAUAUUUUUUAAAAUAUAAUAUUUUAUUAAUU